GUGGGGAAUAUUGCACAAUGGGCGCAAGCCUGAUGCAGCAACGCCGCGUGAGGGACGACGGCCUUCGGGUUGUAAACCUCUUUUAGCAGGGAAGAAGCGAAAGUGACGGUACCUGCAGAAAAAGCACCGGCUAACUACGUGCCAGCAGCCGCGGUAAUACGUAGGGUGCAAGCGUUGUCCGGAAUUAUUGGGCGUAAAGAGCUCGUAGGCGGUUUGUCGCGUCUGCUGUGAAAACCCGAGGCUCAACCUCGGGCCUGCAGGGGGUACGGGCAGACUAGAGUGCGGUAGGGGAGAUUGGAAUUCCUGGUGUAGCGGUGGAAUGCGCAGAUAUCAGGAGGAACACCAGUGGCGAAGGCGGCUUUCUGGUCUGUAACUGACGCUGAGGCGCGAAAGCGUGGGGAGCAAACAGGAUUAGAUACCCGAGUAGUCC
Molecule: ribosomal RNA, 430 nt
Filed under: uncultured bacterium
Lineage: Bacteria
Description: partial 16S ribosomal RNA
Rfam family: Bacterial small subunit ribosomal RNA
Source: RNAcentral